UAUAUAUAUAUAUAUAUAUAUAUAUAUAUAUAUAUAUACACACACACACGUGAUUACUAAAUUAUGUGAAAAUUAUGACAAUAUUAUUUAACUGAACUUAUUUAGGAUUUAGCUAUUAAAUAAAAUGUCAUAAAAUGCCAUUUCGACCAAAAUGUUAUUAAACACAAUACAUAAUAUAUAUGAUGUGAUGGAAAUGACUGCAGAACAAAUGACAAUUCUUUUGUAAGUUAUGCAUAUUCACUGUCUGACAUUGUUAGGAGACAAAUGAAAUGAGAGCGUUAAAGUGUGCUUUAAGAGAGUCUGUUUUCUAAAAGCCCACAGGGACAGCACUUGAACACACACUCAUAGAUAUUGCUCCACAUGCACUCACACUCACUCUUUGGUACUAUAUUAGGUCCACACUGUGUGUGCAAACAGCCCUCUUGUCUCUAGGGCGUAAUCCAUUUGAUGUUUACAUCAAGUGCUAUUGUGGCAGAUGGGGUAAAAUGUCCCUCAGGGGUGUUUAUCCUCAGCUGGGGAGUCCAGACUGCUGACUGAGUGAGGCAGACAAGGCCUGACACCUGAGCUCCACUGCUGUCACUCUUUACAGCAAAUCUGCUUGUGAGCCAUUGAGAUUCAUCAAAUAUUGAAUGGCCACAGUUUCCGUUUCGUGAGCAGAAAGGGUUAGAGAGAGAAAGAGAGAGAGAACUAGAGAGCAGAUACAACAAAAAGAGGUUGUCCUACGGAAACGGGAGGUCAGUGAGAUGGCGGGGAUGGUUAAUGACGACCAAGCGGCCCAAGUGGGGUAAGUGAGCUCUCCAUGAAUACAACACUUAAUUGCUGAUGUUUUGGCUAGUGUCAGAGUGAGUUAAAAGGUCUCGGCUGGGGAUACUCAAGCCUCUGAGUGUAAUUCAAAGACAGAUGGAUUAAUUGAUAACCUCCCAGUGAGGGGUAAACAGCAGGAAUUGGCACUGUGUAAAGAGAAGCACAGCCAUGUGUCAAGGAUUCUAUUCAAAUGUAAAAAAAAAAAAAAAAAAAACCCUAAACAAAAAGAAACAUAUACGUGUGCCUUUAAUCUCUACACUCAGUCUUUCUUACACAAAUACAGAACGAGUUCGAGUGAUCACAGCAACAAGGAACAAAACUCUUCACUGGAUCAACAGGAGCAGGUCAGAGUUGUUCUUUAUCAAUGGACCGAUCAGUACAGAGAUUAAUAAUGAUGACACUAAGGGAUUUUCAUGUAACACAGUUAGGGGAGAGCGGGGCACAACCUAACGCUUUUCGACUUUCUCAGUUUGUGUAAAUCUACUUAGGGUUCAGAGAAUUUCUUUUGUUCCACAUUAAUUUCACACAGGUUUGAUACAAAUAUGUGGCUUUGUUUCAUUGAUACAGUGUAUACUUUUUUCUUUAUUUACCCCGAAAGAAGGGAAAUGAAAUCUGACGAGAUGCCCCAUUGGUGGGGCACAUUGUAACAUGACCAUAUGACAGCUUAAAAUGUUAUCUGAUUUAAUGAAAAAAAUAUACAUGACAAACUAAAAUAUUUUGUCAUUAAAAGACAAUUAUUAUUUUUUUCAUAUAAAAUGAUAGCAUUUUUUUUUAGAAAUUCAAAUUUAAAUAAUUUUGUAAUUUGACAAUGAACACUGCAAAACACAGCUAUACAGCACUGGUCAAAACAAUACACCCACACAGAUGAAGAAACAUAUGCAGACAUUCAGAAAAACACACAGCUGAACAAAACACUCUCCUCCCUCCACUCACAGCUCUCACAGAACACGGGAUAAAUAGACAAGCCAGUACAAAUUUCUUGAAAUAAUAUUUUUUAAAUGUUCAGGUUCUUCAGUCUUUAUUCAGCUUUUUUCCCAUGGUUUCUCAACAGAUAUUCAUAAAAGUUAAUUAUGGCAAUUAUAUCGUAACUGUAUAGAAUAGCAUAGUUCUAAUAACGGUGUUACAACAAACCCUAUCUGCGCAACUGGAAUUUAAACCUGGUUAGUAUCUUCUGCUAGUUAGUGAAGCAUUAAAGAACUAGCUAAACUGCUAAAUAACAGAUUGGAGAUUAAAACAAUAUCAGAUUUGUCUAAUUUUAAACAAACCAAAAAUAUAGAUGAAAAAAUAACUCAAGAAAUUUAGUUUUGCUAUUGUUAAUUAAAUGUUCAGCAAUGUCUCCCAAAGAUUUCUGAAUUUUUGUGCAUUGUUUUCUCUAUAUAUUGUCGAUAUGGUACCUAGAAGAUUCAUUAUGCUAGCAUAUUUGGAAGUAUUUAAACCAUGUGUGUUACAACUAACCCUGAGUUAGGUUGUGCCCCGCGCUCCCCUAAUAUUAGUCGUCAAACCAUCCUAGGUGUAUAUGAUUUUCUUCUUUCGGCCGAACACAAACAGAAUUAUAUUUAAUAAAAUCUUGGCUCUUCCCAGCUUUGUAAUGGCAUUUGUCAAUUCUCACCUAAGCUUACGCUACGCCUAAGUCCUAUAUCCUACAUCAGGUCAGAAGUCACUCUUUCACUGGAACUCGACUCUCUCAUGAACAUGCGUAUAGCCAUUGCAGGAAGCCAGUGAUUGUAGUUUAUGAAGUUUUAAAUAUGGAUUUUUUUUUUUUUACAAAACCCAUUGCUUUGUUUCAGAAGGCAUUUAUUAACCCAUUUGGAGUUGUAUGGAUUACAUUUAAGAUAGAUGGAUGCACUUUUUGGAGCGUCAAAAACUCGGGCACUAUUCAAUUCCAUUACAAAUCUGGGAAGAGCCAGGAUAUUGUUUUAAAAAUGUUUUCUUUUUUUUCUUUUUUUUUUUUUUUAAAUAUAACUGAUUGUGUGAAGAAAGUCAUAUACACCUAGGAUGGCUUGAGGGUGAGUAAAUUUUCAUUUAUGGGUGAACUAUUCCUUAAAGAUUAACAACACAUUAUUGUCUAUAAAGAUUUGACAUUGUUGCUUAUUACAUGACGUUCUAGAAUUCUUGAUUCUGAUUAUUUAGAAGGAGCAGAUCACACAGAAUGCAUUCUUGCAUUUAAAAAUGUGAAAUGCAGCGCAGUGAAAUAGAAAAGAAUUCAAGGUCUGAAGACGUGUUUUAAACUUUAAUGUUAACGUUGAACUUUUAUUUAUUUAUUUUAACUUCGCAGUGUGCAUGUUUACAUAAAACAAUUAAACAUGAGACAGCGCAGUGAAAUGGUAGAGAACACAAGAUUUCAAGACGCGUUUUAAAAGUUGAACUUCUUUUAUUUUUCAUGUAGGGGAGACCGAGUGUGAACCGGGUAACACUUUUUGUUUCAGAAUCUUUAGCUCACUGAUUUUUUUAGAGUGCUCAAACUUAUACAAAGUACCUUUUUUUUUUUUUAUUACAAAAGGCACCAAUUUAAACAUCUGCAAGAAUAUCACAGCACUUUUGAGUUGAUGUCAAAUACAACCUUUGUUACAACCUGCCCCACACAUGUUGGUGUAAGUUGUAACAAUUGGCAAACAUUGGCAGGCACCCUUCUAUCUGUCUUUGCUUUUCAUUUUCUAGUAAUUCACUAAAGUUAUUAAAAAGAAAAUGUUCUUAGUUGUAUGUAAGGGGAUGGUUGUAACACUUUUUAAUGAUGUUACAACCCACCCCACCAGUCAGCCAGUGUUUAGCAAACCAAAUUAGCAUAAUGGUUUUAAAUUAGCAGGUUAAAAAUGCAUCACAUUUUACCCGAGAAUCUACAAUAAAAUGUAAUAUAAGUUAAAAGCAAAAGUUUAUGUACUAAACAAAAUCUGGUUUUGGCCAAAAAAAAAAUUACAUUCUUACCACAAAAUCAUUUUUUUUCUUUAUAAAAACCUGCAUGUGCCUAUUUCCAGCUUUGACAGUCAUUAUGGGAUCUGGGAGGAAGUGGGUAAACACUGAAAUGAUCAUAGGACCUGUCCUAGCUUAUUCCUGAUUGGUGGAAUCGGUGGUGUUACAACUCUCUCCAUGUUACAACCAUACCUGGGCUGUGUUCAGCCCCGACAAAAUGUUGCAAAACGUUUUUUAAACGGAAAUGGUGGUGCGUUGAACACCCUGUUCUGAUGAUGCAAGAGUUGCAACUAUGGCAGCUGAGAAGGCCAUUCUUUGUCUUCUUUUUGAAGAAUUGAUAUGCUAUAUUUUUACUAUAAAACUCUUACGACAAACAUGUCUUCUAAUAUCUUCAAUUGUUGUGUAUACCGAGCUGCAGCGGACACAUUUGUAAACGAAUUUACUUGGACCCAUUGUGCGAGCUGUCUCUUUAAUACCGCAUGAUUUAUAUACAUGUUGCUGCUGAUUGGGCUGACAUUUUUGACACACCCACCAAAUAAGAAAAAACGUAUCUCAAACCCCAUUGCACACUGUUUUCAGGAAACAUGUCGUUCAACUCGGAAACCGUAGCAAAACGUUGAACUUGAACUAGGUCUCCCCUAUUCAUUUUAACUUGGCGUCUUAAAACGCGAGACGCUGUGCACAUUUACAUAAGAAAAAUAAAAAAAUAAAGAAAAUAAAAUCUAAAAAAUUUUAAAGCAGCGCAAAACGCUACUUUGCUGGGCGCAUGUUUACAUAAAACAAUGAAAAAGCAACGCAAAACGCCUUAAAACGAAGGCUACACAAAUGCAAAAAACUUAUUCUGUGUGAACUGUCCCUAAACUAUGCUAAUCCUUCUCUUCUAUUCUAUUUCAUUAUGUGCUGCUUGACAGACCCUUUCAUGCGAGGAAGGGAGCUGUUGUAUUAGUGAGAGUGUUACACAGGAGAAAUCUGAAUCCGGUCAGACCCCAAACAUUACACAGGCCUUGGCAGCGACUCCUGUACACACACAGAGUAUGUCUAAACCAGUCACUGUUACCCAGCUGAUAAAUGCUUACACUGAUAAUACAGCUAAGGAACAUUUAAAAAUGCUGAACAGUUUGUCCUUGUGCAAAUAUUCAGCCUUGUAAUGCAAAUGAUAUUUACUCAGGUGGAUAAUGGGAAACAAUGGCCAGUACACAGGCCAAAUUUACUUUUGGCUAUUUUGGGCUGUUUGUUUUGUAAAAACAAACCUUUACAGAAACAACAUUAUGUAGACUAUAGAGUGAAAUAUGACUAAGUGCUCACAGAUUUUGUUAGCAUAGGUGAAGUAGCCUAUGUUAAGUAAGUUAAUGAGUGUGCACUUCACUAUAGAAGUCGCCCUUGAACUCUGUUGGUACUGCUUGAAAUCUCAACCCACGGAAGACCUCAACAUACAUCAGGUACAGUGACAAGCUCAUGUUUUUAAUAUGUGUAAUAUAAAAUAUAGGGCAUGCUAUAAAUAGUUUAAUGAUGUAGUUUGUCUGCCUUUUUGACACUAGAUUGGGGUUGGAUUUCAUUUGACCCGGCAUGCAUUCAGUGUCUUGUUGCAACCAUCUCAACUGGUUGUAAAUUAUGUAGCUGAGUUAGCUUUGCAAAAUAUGAUGUGUCAUUCCCGUGUCUGUCCACUAGAUAGAGCAGGAGAAGUUCAGUAACUGUUUCGUUUCAGCUGCAGGUGGACAGUGAGGAUCUAACACUGCCCUCCAGUGGUGAGCGCUUGAAUUACCAGCGAGACCCUAGGCCUCAUUUUGGAGUAGCCCACUCCUCUCGCUCUGUAUCGUUUCCCCUGUGGGACAGUGAUAGGCCGAGAGAGAUGAAGAGGGGGGAGGAGAAGGAGGAGACCGUGGAUUCUGUCAGCUGUUGUCCUCACUGCCAUCUUGGGCUGCCACGUGAUACACUGCGCUGGCACGAGGUAAAGUGUCUGAUGUUUGAUGGACAAAGAAACAGUUCGUCUUAAUAAAUCUUCAAUAACCAUCCCUCUGUCUGUUGACGGCUACCUGAAAUAAGCUAUAAAAUUGUUGAUAUUUUUGUUCAAUCCUCUUUUACCUAAAUCCUGUUUCUUAUUCAUAACUUUUAGUAUAUUUUUUACUAAUAUAUAGUAAACAAUUUAAGGACUGGACUGUGUGAAAUAAUAGAAUUUCAUUUCAAUAAUACAGCAUUACUGUUCUUUGAGGUCAAAAACAGCGGUCAACUGCUUCACUGCUGCAAGCUUGAAAUUAUGCUAAUGAACUAUGUGCAAUGUUGUCAAAUAGUAUUUACUAAGGAUGAAUCAGGAAUGUCAGAAAAUGUAAUGACUUGCCCAAAGUUUGCUAGUAAUAUAAAAAAUAAUAUCGUUACAAAUACAUUGUUAAAAAAUAUAUGCACUGUAUACAUUAAAAUUGUCAACAAUG
Molecule: long non-coding RNA, 6137 nt
Organism: Ctenopharyngodon idella (grass carp)
Lineage: Eukaryota; Metazoa; Chordata; Actinopteri; Cypriniformes; Xenocyprididae
Exons: 2
Source: RefSeq, a predicted model, not a curated record